Molecule: long non-coding RNA, 384 nt
Organism: Nicotiana attenuata
Lineage: Eukaryota; Viridiplantae; Streptophyta; Magnoliopsida; Solanales; Solanaceae
Exons: 3
Source: RefSeq, a predicted model, not a curated record
CCUAAACCUCCAAAUCAAAAUCAAAACUCUCGGCCGCCACUCUUCCUCUCCAUUUUAUUAUUCCUUUCUUCCAUAGUAGUGGCGUUAAUUAGAAGCUGUAAGAACAAAGAAGAGAAAGAGGGUAUCGAUCUACACUGCUUCUCAUUCGUAGACAAAAAAUUUAACUGGUUUGUUUGUCACUUCUAUAUGGGUGCUCAAGAGAAAAGUGCCUUUGAGAAAUUUCAAUUUCUUCUAAUAUCAAACUUAUAGUGAUUACGGAGAGUGCUUCAUUAUUCUUGGAUGCAUGAAGAUCAAGCAUGAUGAGGGUGGCAACAUGAAUCAUCAAGCAAUACUUAUGUUCAUUUAAUGUGAAAUUCUGUACAUUAUUUUUUUAUCUUUGUUACA